Molecule: ribosomal RNA, 491 nt
Filed under: uncultured bacterium
Lineage: Bacteria
Description: partial 16S ribosomal RNA
Rfam family: Bacterial small subunit ribosomal RNA
Source: RNAcentral
GAUGAACGCUGGCUACAGGCUUAACACAUGCAAGUCGAGGGGAAACGCCGGGGAAGCUUGCUUCCCCGGGCGUCGACCGGCGCACGGGUGAGUAACGCGUAUCCAACCUGCCUCUGACUGAGGUGUAACCCGUCGAAAGUCGGCCUAAUACCUCAUGGUAUCGUCUGCGGGCAUCCAACGACGAUUAAAGAUUUCAUCGGUCAGGGAUGGGGAUGCGUCUGAUUAGCUUGUUGGCGGGGUAACGGCCCACCAAGGCUCCGAUCAGUAGGGGUUCUGAGAGGAAGGGCCCCCACAUUGGAACAGAGACACGGUCCAAACUCCUACGGGAGGCAGCAGUGAGGAAUAGUGGUCAAUGGGCGAGAGCCUGAACCAGCCAAGUAGCGUGCAGGAAGACGGCCCUAGGGGUGGUAAACUGCUUUUAUGCGGGGAUAAAGUGAGGGACGUGUCCCUCAUUGCAGGUACCGCAUGAAUAAGGACCGGCUAAUUCCGUG